AUCCAGCUGACAAGUCCCAAACAGGACGAAACGCACACCUUGGAU
Molecule: non-coding RNA, 45 nt
Organism: Schistosoma rodhaini
Lineage: Eukaryota; Metazoa; Platyhelminthes; Trematoda; Strigeidida; Schistosomatidae
Source: Rfam